GGAGUUGUGGCUCAGUGGUAGAGUGCUCGCCUAGCAUGUGUGAGGCCCUGAGUUCGAUCCUCAGCACCA
This 69-nucleotide transfer RNA is filed under the name Marmota marmota marmota (Alpine marmot). It matches the Rfam family "tRNA". From Rfam's summary of the family: Transfer RNA (tRNA) molecules are approximately 80 nucleotides in length. Their secondary structure includes four short double-helical elements and three loops (D, anti-codon, and T loops). RNAcentral also lists the same sequence under 1 other name. The record is from Rfam by way of RNAcentral. Lineage: Eukaryota; Metazoa; Chordata; Mammalia; Rodentia; Sciuridae.